GACGAACCGUGCGAACGUUGUUCGGAAUCACUGGGCAUAAAGGGCGCGUAGGCGGCUUUUCAAGUCAGGGGUGAAAUCCGGCAGCUCAACUGUCGAAGUGCCCUUGAUACUGAUGAGCUCGAGGGAGGUAGGGGUGUGUGGAACUUCCGGUGGAGCGGUGAAAUGCGUUGAUAUCGGAAGGAACGCCGGUGGCGAAAGCGACGCACUGGACCUCUUCUGACGCUGAGGCGCGAAAGCUAGGGGAGCAAACGGG
RNAcentral lists this ribosomal RNA (253 nucleotides) under uncultured bacterium. RNAcentral describes it as "partial 16S ribosomal RNA". It matches the Rfam family "Bacterial small subunit ribosomal RNA", at positions 524 to 776 of the family's 1533-position model. The record is from RNAcentral.